Long non-coding RNA from Hyla sarda, 341 nucleotides. RefSeq lists it as uncharacterized. NCBI's taxonomy places the organism in Eukaryota, Metazoa, Chordata, Amphibia, Anura, Hylidae. The record is from RefSeq and is a predicted model, not a curated record. The transcript is spliced from 3 exons.
AUGUGACUGGCCAAGUCCCAGUCACGUGACUAUGAAGUUUCUUCUCCAGACCUCUGAUGGACACUUCUACAUAGGCAUAUACUGUAGUACUGAAGUCUAUCCAUUCUGUUUAUUACUCUGGUUGACCAACUGUGAAUCUACCUUACCCACUGGUGCCAAAAUUGUACACUUCACUUUAGGUAGAAUGAACUCUGCCCAUUACAACUGGAACCAGCAGCACCAGCGGUAGCACCACACCAAGUGACCAUCUUAUUUGCGUGGGUCCUUUAUCCAAAGGAUGCCUGAUGAAGCUGCGCAUGCGCAGCGAAACACGUUGCAUUCUGGACAAUAAAAUCCUUUUA